UACGUAGGGUGCGAGCGUUAAUCGGAAUUACUGGGCGUAAAGCGUGCGCAGGCGGUUCGUUGUGUCUGAUGUGAAAGCCCCGGGCUCAACUUGGGAACGGCAUUGGAAACUGGCGAGCUAGAGUGUGGCAGAGGGGGGUGGAAUUCCGCGUGUAGCAGUGAAAUGCGUAGAGAUGCGGAGGAACACCGAUGGCGAAGGCGGCCCCCUGGGCUGACACUGACGCUCAGGCACGAAAGCGUGGGGAGCAAACAGG
Molecule: ribosomal RNA, 253 nt
Filed under: uncultured bacterium
Lineage: Bacteria
Description: partial 16S ribosomal RNA
Rfam family: Bacterial small subunit ribosomal RNA
Source: RNAcentral